RNAcentral lists this long non-coding RNA (1044 nucleotides) under Parus major (Great Tit). Its description in RNAcentral is "lncRNA (ENSPMJG00000001706.1)". Lineage: Eukaryota; Metazoa; Chordata; Aves; Passeriformes; Paridae. The record is from RNAcentral.
AUGGGGGCCUGGGGGGCACCAGAGUCCAGCUGGGACCCCCCAACCUCACCCUGGGGGCUGCUUCACUCCGCAGGGCCCCGUGACCCAAAGCACCCUCGGUGCCCCCCAAACCGGGACGCGGGUGACAUUCCCAAGGGCCUCGUUAAUCUGCUGGGGACAUUUUUUCCAGCUGGGGGAGCUGGGACAAAGCCGAGCCCGCGGGGCCGGGGGGGCACCCAUGGGUCCCCUGGGCCCGGCAGGAUGGGGCUUAGCGGGAUUUGGCCAAGGCCGGAUCCUAAUUGGAUUUGGCAGCAGGAACCUUAUGUAAAGGAGCACAAAGGGACCAUUGGAGCGAGGGGGACAAGGGGGGGCAGGAAGGGGAAAAUGGGGGGCUGCACCCAUUCGCCCCUCCUGCCUCGGGGACCCAGGUGGGUGCCUGUUUGGGGGAACCCGGGUGUCUGCGGGAGAGCGAGGGGAGUUCUGUCGUGCACCCAUCUCCAUCCCAUUUGGGAGACCCAGGUGUCCAGGAUCAAGGGGGAGCUGUCACCCAUCCACCUCCCCACCCUCUGGGGAGACCCAUGUGAGCCCCUUAGCUCAGGGGGUGGGGGGGUGCUUUGGGGAGGUGGGGAUAAAUGGGGGUCCCUGGGGGGGGCCCCACUCACCCUCAUACGUCCAGUGCGGACCUGUUGGGGAGAGGAGAGGCAGUGGGGGGGAGGCUCUGCCGAGCCCCCUGGCCCAACAUGGGGUCACCUGAGGGGGGCUGGGGCUGCACCCCAGAGCUGGACCUGCCAGGGGCACCCCGGGAGGACUCACCAGCGGGCAGGGCGGGGGCCAGGCCCCCCAGGAGCAGCAGCACACUCAGCAUGGCGGGGGGCAAGGGGGGCUGGGUGCCACCGGCCCGGCCCUAAAUACCCACCCAGGGGGACGGGCCCCCCCGGGGGGACGGGGAGGGCUGGAAGGGCCAUGCCCGGGAUGUUGGGGUGUGAGGAGGGUGGAGAUGGGGCUGUGGGCUUGCAGGGUCUGCGGGGCUGUGAGCUCUGGACUUGUGAGAUGAGGGGUUUGUAG